AUUUAUAUAGUUUAUUAAAACAUUACAUUUUCAUUGUUAAGUAAGAUUUUAUCUUGUAAAUA
Molecule: transfer RNA, 62 nt
Filed under: Coccotorus chaoi
Lineage: Eukaryota; Metazoa; Arthropoda; Insecta; Coleoptera; Curculionidae
Description: tRNA-Glu
Source: RNAcentral